This is a long non-coding RNA of Triticum aestivum (bread wheat), 635 nucleotides long. RefSeq lists it as uncharacterized. NCBI's taxonomy places the organism in Eukaryota, Viridiplantae, Streptophyta, Magnoliopsida, Poales, Poaceae. The record is from RefSeq and is a predicted model, not a curated record. The transcript is spliced from 4 exons.
AAGACAAAUAAAGGAGAGGACUACUUGUGGCCAAUUUCAUGGCCUCUCAUGGCCAUGCCCGCGCCACUUCACUCUUCCCCAUCCUGAAGUGCGGCUGCUGCUUUUGGGGAUCCGCUCGGAGAGGACUACUUCUGGCCAAUUUCUUUCUCCACCAGGUGAGGACUAUUCCCCUGGCCGCUUCAGAUCCCCACCAGGUUUACAACACGAGAUUCCUGACCAGAAGGGGAACAAGGCGGAGUGGCAUGGUGACCAGUUCCAGAUGUGCAUCUGUUCUCGUGAAACUAAGGACAAUAAGAUCCAGGUAGAACACCACUUCUAGGGGAUGCUCUUGUUGAUGCCAGGACAGUCUGUUUUGCAUUUAGGAAUGUUGGGGAGGAAUACUACAUCAAGAAGAACGAUCGGGUAGAGUUUAUCGCAAUACUUGGACUAUUUGGACUGCUUGUCAGUACAAUUCGGAUGUAUCCUCUACACAGUUCAUGAUUAAUAGCAGACCCACGGAGGAAAAUUGUCAUAAUUCAUUGAUAUUGCCAUCUAUAGAUUUGAUCUUGUUAUUGCCUAGUUAAAAGAUCACUACCUUUUUUCUGGAACAAAAAUGUCUUGACAAUACUCUCCUGGAACAAAUAUUCAUGUGACCA